CUCCAUGACAACAGAAGACACAGAAAUCCUCCUCAUCAAAAACAUGACUCUGAUCUGCGUCUUCAUCUGGACUCUCCUCUGCUGCUGCUUCACAGAGUCCAGAGGACAGGCCACAGUGACUCAGUCUGGAGCAGUGAGCUCUGCUCUGGGAGGUUCUGUCACCAUCAGCUGUAAGACCAGUCGCAAUAUUAAUGGAAACUACUUUUCAUGGUACCAACAGAAGGAUGGAGGAGUUCCUAAAAUGCUCAUUUACUACACCAGCACUCGAGCAUCAGGGAUUCCAGAUCGUUUUACAGGCAGAGGAUCAAACUCUGACUUCAGUCUGAUCAUCAGUGGAGUCCAGACAGAAGAUGCUGCAGUUUAUUACUGUAUGGGUGAAUUCUACAUCAACAGUCAGUAUUC
Molecule: long non-coding RNA, 402 nt
Organism: Acanthochromis polyacanthus (spiny chromis)
Lineage: Eukaryota; Metazoa; Chordata; Actinopteri; Pomacentridae
Exons: 3
Source: RefSeq, a predicted model, not a curated record